UCCGAGUUGUCCCCGGCAGUCCUCUUAGAGUCCCCGGCAUUACCCGCUGGCAACUAAGAGCCGGUGUUUCCUCAGGGGAUUACUCCCCUGGGGGCCAAUCGUUGAUUAGCCAUGCAGCACCUGUGCUGGCCCCUUACGGACACGGGCUUUCACCCGCUUUAACCAGCAUGUCAAGCCCAGGUAAGGUUCUUCGCGUUGCAUCGAAUUAAGCCACAUGCUCCGCCGCUUGUGCGGGCCCCCGUCAAUUCCUUUGAGUUUUAGCCUUGCGGCCGUACUCCCCAGGCGGGGUGCUUAAUGCGUUAGCUUCGGCACGGAGAGGGUUGAAGGCCUCCCCACACCUAGCACCCAACGUUUACGGCUGGGACUAC
Molecule: unclassified non-coding RNA, 368 nt
Filed under: uncultured Actinomycetes bacterium
Lineage: Bacteria; Bacillati; Actinomycetota; Actinomycetes
Description: uncultured actinobacterium contains 16S-23S intergenic spacer region
Source: RNAcentral